AUAAGCGGAGGAAAAGAAACCAACAGGGAUUGCCCUAGUAACGGCGAGUGAAGCGGCAACAGCUCAAAUUUGAAAUCUGGCCCUCGGGUCCGAAUUGUAAUUUGUAGAGGAUGCUUUUGGUGCGGUGCCUUCCGAGUUCCCUGGAACGGGACGCCAUAGAGGGUGAGAGCCCCGUCUGGUUGGACACCAAGCCUCUGUAAAGCUCCUUCGACGAGUCGAGUAGUUUGGGAAUGCUGCUCUAAAUGGGAGGUAUAUGUCUUCUAAAGCUAAAUACUGGCCAGAGACCGAUAGCGCACAAGUAGAGUGAUCGAAAGAUGAAAAGCACUUUGAAAAGAGAGUUAAAAAGCACGUGAAAUUGUUGAAAGGGAAGCGUUUAUGACCAGACUUGGACUUGGUUGAUCAUCCGGCGUUCUCGCCGGUGCACUCUUCCAGUUCAGGCCAGCAUCAGUUCGCUGCGGGGGAUAAAGGCUUCGGGAAUGUGGCUCCCUCCGGGGAGUGUUAUAGCCCGUUGCGUAAUACCCUGUGGUGGACUGAGGUUCGCGCAUCUGCAAGGAUGCUGGCGUAAUGGUCAUCAACGACCCGUCUUGAAACACGGACCAAGGAGUCGUCUUCGUAUGCGAGUGUUCGGGUGUCAAACCCCUACGCGUAAUGAAAGUGAACGCAGGUGAGAGCUUCGGCGCAUCAUCGACCGAUCCUGAUGUUCUCGGAUGGAUUUGAGUAAGAGCAUACGGGGCCGGACCCGAAAGAAGGUGAACUAUGCCUGUAUAGGGUGAAGCCAGAGGAAACUCUGGUGGAGGCUCGCAGCGGUUCUGACGUGCAAAUCGAUCGUCAAAUAUGGGCAUGGGGGCGAAAGACUAAUCGAACCNUCUAGUAGCUGGUUUCC
Molecule: ribosomal RNA, 883 nt
Filed under: Coccinonectria rusci
Lineage: Eukaryota; Fungi; Ascomycota; Sordariomycetes; Hypocreales; Nectriaceae
Description: LSU rRNA
Rfam family: Eukaryotic large subunit ribosomal RNA
Source: RNAcentral